Molecule: long non-coding RNA, 1015 nt
Organism: Lycium barbarum (goji berry)
Lineage: Eukaryota; Viridiplantae; Streptophyta; Magnoliopsida; Solanales; Solanaceae
Exons: 4
Source: RefSeq, a predicted model, not a curated record
ACAGGAUUCUUACUGGAUAUGCCCCAGCGGUUGGCUAUAGUCGGCAUCUCUUUCUCUGAUCGCCGCAAAAUAUGGGCCAUCGGCCAUUCAAUAGAUGAUACAUUGAAGAUCAAAAGCUGCAGGUUGAUGAUUUUUAUGCUCGGAAACAACAGAACAGGCUAGCUGCACGUCAGACAGAACCGGGCAAAGCCAGCCAUGAAGAUUUUGUAUUGAAGCAUCCAGUGGAUAAUCAUGAGAAGGAUUAAAAAAAGCUUCUACCUAUUGUAGGUGUCUCUUGACAACAAGAAAAAUAGAGAUUCGCAAGGCAUGGAUGCCUACUGCUUUGGCUCUCUUUUCCCCUCCCCUUUUUCCUAUUAUCUUUUGGUGGCCUUGUGAAGCUAAAAUUUAGCAACUCCACUAAGAUGCUGAAGAAAUAUUUCAGCUCACCUUACUGAUGCAAUCAUUGUCUGUUGAACACAUUUAGACUUGGUUGCUGUUGAAUUCCCUAGCAACAUCAUUGGUCUUGUCUUAAUCCGAAGUUUCAUCAGUAUUAACUGCUAUCACAAUGAAUUCAACUUUUGAAUAAAUGAUUUCAUUCGAAAUCUCUAAGCUUAUUUUGGCAGGUGCUGCUCUUGAAAAAUUAGAGGAGGAGAAAGGUAUCGUAAUCAUUUCAUGGAAGCUACAUACUCUCAAGUUCAAGCAAAUAAACAAAGAGCUCAUAGAUACACGUUGAAAUGCCUAUAAUUUGGUAAGUCCACGAAGAAUAAUGUUAUUGAUCGAAGCUGAACAGAGGUACAAGAAUUCUGGGCUAAGGAGUAAGAAGCAGAGACAACGCCAAUAUGAUCCCCAAGACAAAGAACUUCAUUGCAUAGAAUAUAUAGUUGCACCUUAUCCAACAACAUUAACUUUCUUUAUAGCACACUUAUUAUAACGGAUAUAGUUCAACCAUUGUCCUCUGUUACAAAGUUGGCUUCAGAAUCAAUGACAUAAAUGUACCUUAUUUUUGGUCAACAUAACUGUUCUUCAUUCCUGCACU